Molecule: ribosomal RNA, 246 nt
Filed under: Paraburkholderia steynii
Lineage: Bacteria; Pseudomonadati; Pseudomonadota; Betaproteobacteria; Burkholderiales; Burkholderiaceae
Description: 23S rRNA. Bacterial LSU
Rfam family: Bacterial large subunit ribosomal RNA
Source: RNAcentral
GAGAGGACCGGAGUGGACGAACCUCUGGUGUACCGGUUGUCACGCCAGUGGCAUCGCCGGGUAGCUAUGUUCGGAAGAGAUAACCGCUGAAAGCAUCUAAGCGGGAAACUCGCCUUGAGAUGAGAUAUCCCCGGGGCUUCGAGCCCCUUGAAGGGUCGUUCAAGACCAGGACGUUGAUAGGUCAGGUGUGGAAGCGCAGUAAUGCGUUAAGCUAACUGAUACUAAUUGCCCGUAAGGCUUGAUCCU